RNAcentral lists this unclassified non-coding RNA (230 nucleotides) under Hevea brasiliensis (rubber tree). The record is from RNAcentral. Lineage: Eukaryota; Viridiplantae; Streptophyta; Magnoliopsida; Malpighiales; Euphorbiaceae.
AAUCAUCAUAUGUUGCAGAUUGAUAAUGAAGCAUUAGUCUAGACAAUCUUGAAUUUUAAAAUACUUAUUGUUAUGUUACUAGUAGGAAACUGCACGGAAGCCAUUUCUGGUGCUUUUGGUUAUAAGGGAUAGACAUUUUAGGUUGUUGAAAUGAUAAAUAGUCUCAUUUUCAUAUGGUUCUGGAAUGCCAGAAACAUUUUUAUGCACAAUGCUAUAUGAUCAUUCUGCCA